RNAcentral lists this ribosomal RNA (253 nucleotides) under uncultured bacterium. Its description in RNAcentral is "partial 16S ribosomal RNA". It matches the Rfam family "Bacterial small subunit ribosomal RNA", at positions 524 to 776 of the family's 1533-position model. The record is from RNAcentral.
UACAGAGGUCUCGAGCGUUAGGCGGAAUCACUGGGCUUAAAGCGUGUGUAGGCGGCUCGGUAAGUACCUUGUGAAAUCCCACAGCUUAACUGUGGAACUGCUUGGUAUACUGCCGGUCUUGAGCCAGCUAGGGGCUACCGGAACAAAUGGUGGAGCGGUGAAAUGCGUAGAUAUCAUUUGGAACGCCAAUGGUGAAAACAGGUAGCUGGGGCUGUGCUGACGCUGAGACACGAAAGCCAGGGGAGCAAACGGG